CCAAAUAUACUGAAAUAGAUUUAAAUAAUUAAGAAUCUCAUAAAAACUAGAUAUAAACAUCGAAACUUAGUACAAAAUUCUCCCAAAAGAUCUAGGUGUCACGGAAUACCUGAGCAUCUACAUAUCAACAUAGUCUGACCAAUGGAACAUUACGUAGGAAUGUAGAACAGUAUAAAUAAGACUAAAAGAUAAAAGAGGAGAGUCAAGGUCUGCGGAUGCCAUGGCAGCUACCUCGACGAUAUCCGAACUGAUGAAAUGUCAGGAAUCAACAACCGACAUGCCCGAAAAUGCCUGGAUCUGCACACGAGGUGCAGGGUGUAGUGUGAGUACAAUCAACGCAAUAAGUAUCGCAAAUAAAUAAUUCAAGGUAAGAGAAGCUUAAUUUGUUGAGGUCACUAGUUAAAUCAGUGCAAUUAUGUCCUUUUUGAUUAACCUAGUAUAAAAUUUAAAGCUAGCUCAUAAGGCUUCGUGAAACGAAUAUCCGUGUGUGCACUGGUUCUCAAAUACCCUUCUCAACAAUAUCAUAGAAUGUAGAGGAAAGAAACACGGACAACUCACGUGCCAAUAACAUAAUCCGCCCGGAAGAGCCACAUGCCCUAGUCCAAAAUAUCAUACAUGCGAAAUAAAACAAGUAUACAGGUAUAUAAUGGAUGAAAUACAAUUCUCCUAUCCCUGGACUAGUGUAAAUAAUAUGUUAAAGUGUAGGUAUAUGCAAAUUGUGGUAUCAUAGCUCAAUCCGGCAAUUUCAUCAAUGAAAAGCAUUUAUCAAGUUCGUUCAGGGAUCAAACCUCUAAGUAGACUCAUCACGGAUCAAUUAGAUCACAUAAAUUGUUACAUGUUAGAUAUCGAAGCUCGAAGCUUAACAGUCAUUUCUGGGCUUAUAGGAGCUCGAGCACAACCCAAACUGAUGCACCAUGAUGAGCUGGACAAGUCAUCUGAGCGAGCCUAUAAGGAUGACCCCUGUUGUGGUAGGACUGUCCCCAGAAGGAACACCACUACCACCCCAACUACUAGGCCUCUUAGCCUCUCUCUCCUCAUGUUCCUGACUAUGGACCAUCUCUAUCUACCGAGCAAUAUUAACCACCUCGCCGAACGUAGCACCGGAUACCCUCUCCCGAGUCAUAAGCAACUGCAACUGAUAGGUGAGGCCAUCAAUCAAUCUCCUAAUCCUCUCCCUCUCAGUGGGAACCAAGCAACUGCAUGACGAGCCAACUCUGAGAACCUCCCCGCAUACUAGGUCACAAACAUGCCAUCCUGACGUAGCUACUCAAAUGCGCAGCUCCUCCCUGCGAGACUAUGGCACGAACUUCUCCAAGAAGAGAAUGGAGAACUCAUUCCAUGUAAGUAGUGUUGCACCGACCGACAUGUGCCUUUUAUAAGCCUCCCACCAUCUGAAGGCAACCCUAGUAAACUGAAAAGUAGUGAAUGAGAGAUUACUGGUCUCAAGAAUACUUGUCGUGCAAAAUAUCCGUUGGCACCUAUCCAAAAAGUCUUGAGAAUCCUCAGACUCAGCCCCCACUGAAUGAUGGAGGCUGGAGUCUCCCAAAUCUCUCUAGUCUCCUCUGCUCAUUAUCAGUCAUAAUGGGACCCACCUAGGCCUGAGAAACUGUAAUCGGUUGGGCUGGUAGUACCCCCGAUAUCUGAAAUCCCUACAUCACCUGCUCUGGAGUAUGGGAGGUGGAAGUCUGAGUACCUCCCCCGACCUAAGAAGUGGCUGCUGUGCCGGAACAGAAACUACCCAAGCAAGGGCACAGUCAAAAUCUGAGCCAAAGCCUCCUGAAGGGCUGGAAUCACAAUGGGCACAGCUGGUGCCUGAGCUAGCCCCACUGGCUCAACCAUAUCUGGUACCUACUUUUGAGCUAGAGCAACUGGUGGGUCUGCAGGUGUUGCUCUAGCUGUUGUACGAGCUGCACCUCUGCCCCUACUGCAGCCCAUACCACGACCCCAACCUCUCGUGGCCCUAGCCAGUGGUACUGGUGGCCGUCCGUCCUGACCGGUAGCACUUGUGCUCACCAUUUGUGAGAGAAUAAAAUAACAUAAGUUUAGUUACCAGAAUCAACAAAUCUGCACAACGAGAAUAUAAGAAUGUGAAGUUUUCCUUAGGGUUUGGCAGCCUCUCAAAGAUAAGUACAGACGUCUCUGUACUGAUCUGCAACACUUUACUAAACCUGCUCAUGACUCAUGAAACAUAUGUAACCUAAGCUCUGAUACUAACGUGUCACGACCCAAAACUCGACAUGUCGUAACGGUGCCUAUCAUGGUACUAGGCAAGCCGACAUCUCACACAUUCCAACAAUUUUAAAACCCAAAUAUACUGAAAUAGAUUUUAAUAAUUAAGAAUCUCGUAAAAAUUGGAUAUAAACAUCGAAACUUCGUAUAAAAUUCUCCCAAAAGAUCUAGGUGUCACGGAGUACAUAAGCAUCUACAUAUCAACAUAGUUUGACCAAUGGAGCACUGCCUAGGAAUGUAGAACAGUAUAAAUAAGACUAAAAGAUAAAAGAGGAGAGUCAAGGUCUGCGGAUUCCAAGGCAGCUACCUCGAUGAUCUCCGAACUGAUGAAUUGUCAGGAAUCAGCAACCGACAUGCCCGAAAAUGCAUGGAUCUGCACACGAGGCUUAGGGUGUAGUGUGAGUACAACCAACGCAAUAAGUAUCGCAAAUAAACAAGGCAAGGUAAAAGAAGCUUAAUUUGUUGAGGUCACUAGUUAAAUCAGUGCAAUUAUGUCCUUUUUGAUUAACCUAGUAUAAAAUUUAAAGCUAGCUCAUAAGGCUUUGUGAAACGAAUAUUUGUGUGUGCAUGUGCACUGGUUCUCAAAUACUCUUCCGAACAGUAUCAUAGAAUGUAGAGGAAAGAAACACGAACAACUCACGUGCCAAUAACAUAAUCCGCCCAGCAUAGCCACAUGCCCUAGUCCAAAAUAUCAUACAGGAGCAAUAAAGCAAGUAUACAGGUAUAUAAUGGAUGAAAUACGAUUCUCCUAUCCCUGGACUAGUGUAAAUAAUAUGUUAAAGUGUAGGCAUGUGCAAAGUGUGGUAUCAUAGCUCAAUCCGGCAAUUUCAUCAAUGAAAAGCAUUUAUCAAGUUCGUUCAGGGAUUAAACCUCUAAGUAGACUCAUCAUGGCUCAAUUAGAUCACAUAAAUUGUUACCACAUGUUAGAUAUCGAAGCUCGAAAGCUUAACAAUCAUUUCUGGGCUUAUAGGAGCUCGAGCACAACGCAAACAUGAAUAUUUAAUCCUGGUGUCACACCUCCUUUUUACUCCCCCCCCCCCCCCCGAGAGGGUAUAUAAGGGAGUUUUUCCAAUUAACGUGACAUUAUUCGAAAUAGAAUUAUUUAUUUAAAUCAGAGUCGCCACUUGGAAUAGUUUAAUUUGGUGUCCCAAGUCACCGGUUUAUUUUAAAAUCUCAAAUCGAGGAAAUUCGACUUUUAUUUUUAAAGUCUGCGAACCAGAAAUUCUAGAUAAGGAAUUCUGUUAACCCGGGAGAAGGUGUUACGCUUUCCGGGUUCUGUGGUUCUAGCACGGUCGCUUAAACUAUUAAAAUUGGCCUAUUAUCUGAUUUACUACAUGUUUUAAAUCUAUUGUGCAUUUUUAACUUAUUAACCGCUUUUAAUUAUUUUUAAAACACUUUUAGGAAGAUUCAACGUUAUUUAAAACAUGCCUUGAACCACGCCACAUGAAAUGCAUCCGCGGUUCGGGACACGUUCUAUUUAACAUUGUUAAGAAUUGAAAUUGGGUCACAUGAAAUGUACACCCGAAUUUAAUAAUUAAAAGAAAACCAAUUUAAAGAACGCGCCUAAAGCAACUACGAAGGUUCAAAUUAAUAAAAAAAUUUGUGAGGGCCAUGGAAAGUUUAAUUGAUGGCACACCUCGGUUUUUAAAGAGUUAGUAUUAAUUACGUGAGGGCCAUGAGUUUAUUUAAUGAAAAUGGCACACCUCAAAUUUUCUAUUAAAAGCCAACUAGUUUUAUGAGGGCCAUAGACUUAGGGAUUUUAUUUGGCAUGUCACGCCUCAAACUAUUUCAAAGGGUUUUAUUAUUCGAAAUUGUUAUAAUCGGGUUAAAUGAAAUGCACCCCGAAUUGAAAUUCACGUAUCGUGACCAUGCCACGGGAACCGUACCCAUUGUCACGAUCAUUUAUAACUAAACAAAUGGAAUAUUAAACCAACAUGAACUAUAAACUAACAUGGGAAAACAAACUAUUUUUCUAAAGCACGAAGUUAAAUUAGCUUUAAACAAAUGAGGACACAUAUAGGGAAAUUUUAUUAUUAAAAAAAAAAAAAGACAACAGUCAUUAACGAAAAAACAGAGUAGCCACGACUAUGGCUUUUCCACAAGGAACGAAACGAAUUCUGUUCCAUCAAUUAUUCAAACGGGCGUGAAUGAAUUGGCUUAGCCUCAAUCAUGGCCAGAAAAUUUUUAACAAUCCAUUUGCAGCUUAAACUCAAAAAAAAAAGAUGGCAAAAGAAAAAAUCAAGUAGGAACACACAACUAAAUUCAGAUAUACAUAAAAAUUUGUGUUGACAUUUCUUCAAAAUACAACAAAUUUUCGCGGAUAUAGGUUAGCUAUAUAUAUUGAUUUCGAUCUGCUUAGAUUACCAAAUAUACCACUGGUUCAUUCUCAAAUUCCAACAAGAAUUCUCAUUUGCGUCCUGACAUUUAUGUGCAAUUUACCUAAAACUAGGUGAGCAAGAAAAAUUAUAAAAGCAAGUGUCAAUGCUUUAAUUUCCAACACCAAUCAACACAUAUGCUGUUCCAACAGAAUUUUUGAUUAGAAUGUCCAAAACGCUAAUUACCCAGUUUCAGAAAUCGUUUGACAUAUAUAGGGCAUAUAAUUUGGAAAACUUAAUACCUUUGCCAUAAUGUGCAUUUGAGAAGGAAAAGGAAGAGCUCAUCAAAUCCGAAGAAAUAAACCCAGCAAACACAUCUUCUUUACACCAAAAAAAAGCUUCGAUUGACUGAAAUUUUCAGCAAUUACACGAGCAAGGUGAGCCAAUAGCUAAAGUCGAAAUCUGAAAUGGAUGGAACUCAAGCGAAACAACUUCAAACAGCAACUCAACUCAAUCAACCUCCAUAUGUGAAGCCCAAAUCAACUAAGAAGUAGAAACUUAAAAUAUUUUGGAAUUUUUUGUUAAAAUUUCGGACAUCAAACAUCUUAAAGAAAGAAGCAUCAUAUUACAUGUUUCUGCCUUUUUCUAAAAAAUCCAAAGAAAUGAAAGAAUCAAAAGGAAAUUCCAAAAAUUCUCAAAGUUUUCCAUUUGUCCUCUCGUUCUCUGUUGAAGGAGGAAUGCGCCAUUUUUUGGUUCUUUUCAGGGAGGGGAGGGGAGGCGGUGGCUCCUCAAUUUUUGGGGGAGCUCGUUCUGGUCCAAAAAAAUGGAAAAAAAAAACAAGGAGGGAAUUUGGUGUUUUUAGAUGAUGAAGAUGAAGAAGACCAAAGGAGGGGUGGUGCCUGUUGUGUUUGUCUUUUUGAAAAUGGGGGAGCAGCUUUUCUCUGUUGUCGUUUCUUUUCUGAAAAAAUCAAGAAGAAGCCUUGGAAAUGGGAGGUGCUGUGGGCCGUUUCUUAGGGGUCUCCAAGAAAUAGAAAAAUCUUAUUUUUGUAGCCUAAAAUCUUAUCCCUAUACACGUCUAAGUAUGGGUUUUAAUCGAAAGGGGAUGGGUUUUGGGCUGAUGGGUUCAAGUGUAUUUGGGUUGGGGUUGGUUUAAAUUUGGGAUUGGUUCUGAGUUAGCUUUUGGGGAGAAUUGGGUCAAUUUGGUACAAAGAGUUAACCCAAAUUCAUAUUAAAACCCCUUAUCAAUUACCUAUUUUAUUCCUUUUUCCUUUAUUUUUUCUUUUUAUUUUUUUCAAUUAAUUAAAAUCCUAAAUUAAUCUAUUUUUUUAGAAAUUAAAAUUCUUUAUUUAUUAAAAUAACUAAUUAACUUAAGACUAAAGAAAAAUGCUAAUUUUAAAGACUAAAAUCUUAUUAUGUAAAAAUGAUAAUUUUUGUGAUUUUUUGCUUAAUAAAAUUAAUUCUCACAUGCAAAUUAUACCUAAGAUGACAUGGAAUAAAAUGUGACAAUUUUUAAUAAUUUUUCUAUGAUUUUAAAAUAUUAAAAAUGCAUGAAAUGCAACUACAUAAAGAAAAAAUCCUAAAAAUCAAUUAAAAAAAUUGGUCUAUUUUAGGAGUUAUUUUCAUGUAGGGCAAAAAUCACGUGCUCACACCUGGUGCCCACACAUGGGAUCAUCCCCACGCAUGUGCGCACCCAAAAGCAUGUGGCUAUCACAACAAUUCAAGCAAUUGGUGCAUCAACCAAGUUUAAAUACGAUAUUUACCUCAAGCAACUCGAAUCACUUCGCUAGCAAGCUCUUGCCUCUCGAAUCGGUCUACGAAUGCCUUGAAUCUAGCAAUAAACAAUUCGAUACAAUCAACACGAGCUAAAGGAAUCAAUUCCAUAAGAAAAAUACUAAGUUCAUAAUUAAAAGUCAAAAAGUCAACUCGAAAGUCGGCCCACUAGCCCACGUCUCAGAAUCUAAUAAGAGUCAAAAAAAUCCGGAAGCCCAUUCAACCACGAGUCUAACCAUACCAAAUUUACCAAAAUCCAACACCAAAUCGACACCCAAAUCCCCAAUCUAAGCUCUCUAAAUCCCUAGCUACAAACUCCCAAAUUUACACCUCAAAAUCAUACAAUCUAGGUGGGAAAUUCAAUGGGGAAACAUAAUUAUUGAAUAAAUUUAACCACAAGUGGCUUACCUCAAGAAUCCUUUUGAAAUUCCUCUUAAAAAUUGCCUAAUCCUGAGCUUGAAAUGUCCAAAAUGAUGAAAAACACGGAACCCUCGAUUUUAAUACAUUGCCCAAGCAUUCUCGCACCUACGACAACUUACCCGCUUCUACGGUGUCGAAGAAGCGACAAUUCUUCCACGUCUGUGGUGAGCUACUGGAAACCAGCCUUCGCACUUGCGGAUUAUGCUCCGCUUCUGUGCAAACGUAGGUGCGACCAUCUUUCCCGCUCCUACGCUGCCCCCUCACUUCUGCACUUAACUUCACAGCAUCUGCGACCAUGCAGGUGCAGACAAUUCUUCGCACCUGCCACUAUAUCAUUCUUCAUUCCUGGCCGUAUCUGUGCUUCCCAGCUCGCACAUGCGAGCUAGCACCUGCGAUCAAAGCUCCGCAAGUGCGAUUGCACCAGAAGACUCCUAGCUUCAACAACUCUUUAACUCCAAACCUUGAUCCGUUAAUCAUUCGAAUUCUACCCGUGUUACGACCCCAAGCCGAACCCGGUCGUGAUGGCGCCUCUUGUGAAGACAAGGCCAGCCGACACAAUUUCCAAAUUUAGUUUUAACAGUUUAAUAAAUCAAUUUAAGUCAUUUAUAAGGGUAAAUCCCCAACAAGUACAGAUUUAGCAAAAAUAAAACAAGUGCGGAAAUAAAUACAGCCCGAGAUCGGAGUAUCACAAGUCACGAGCAUCUACUAGGGUCUAAAUACAACUGAAAAGUCUGAAAUGUACUAAAUACAGACUAAUGAUAUAAAGAGGGAGGAAAGCAGCGCUGCGAACGCCGGCAACUACCUUGCUAAACUCCGAUGACUUUACCUCCGAUCAACUAAUACCCGCUACUGGGUUCAGAGAUACCUGAAUCUGCACAGAAGGUGCAGGGAGUAAAGUGAGUACUCCAACUCAGUGAGUAAUAAUCAUAACUAAAGUCUGAAUGGUAAGAAAUCACGAAAAGUGCAUCAACAUGCUGUAUAGAAGCAGUACAAAACCAGUAAGAAAACAAUGAAGCUGUAAAAUUUCUUAAAACAUCUUAGCUCAGUUUAAACUUCUUUGAAAAAUAACUUUUUCAACAUGUACACAAAUGAAAGCAAAACAAUUAGUGCAGGUAAGCAUAGAAAAUCCGCCCCUCGGGCACAAAUACACAAUUAAAUAGGUAGAUGACAGGCAAAUAAGAAAGAUAAGUACAUAAGGUUUGCCCCUCGGGCACAGUGUCAACAAAUCCGCCCUCGGACAAUAUCUCAUAACAAUACCAGCCCCUCGGACAAUUACAUAGAACAAUACCAGCCCCUCGGACUAUAUCUCACAUCACAAUGGGUACCCGCACUCACUGGAGAUGUACAGACUCCGGGAGGGCCCCCUUACGGCCCAAGCGCAAUGUCAAGCCAUCUCGUGGCAUCAGAAACAGGCUCUCGGUCUCAUAUCAAUAUCAAGCCACCUCGUGGCGCACAAUCUCAGGCCCUCGGCCUCAUUAUCAUAAUCAGUAUCUCACUGUUGCGGCGUGCAGCCCGACCCAAAGGUAUCCUCACAAUACAGGCUCUUGGCCUUACUCAGUAAAGUCUCACAUAAGCCACUCGGGUAACAGUAAAACAUGAUGCUCAACCUAAAAAUAUUAUUUGAAAUAUCAUUUCAAGUGCUAAAGCAAAGUAAACAUGGUUGAGUUCUGAAAACAGUGAAAAAUAACAUGACUGAGUUCAAGUAUAAAGUCAAAACAGGGAGGAAAUAUCAAUAAAAAUACCCGAAGGGUUCAAAUAGUUAGCACGAAGCCCAAAUAUGGCAUUCAGCUCAAAUAAUGAUGAAAGCAAAUAGAUUUUAGUCAAAUACGCGAUAAAAUCAUCAAUCGGUACGGACCAAGUCACAAUCCUCAAUAGUGCACGACCCCACGCUCGUCAUCAAGCGUGUGCCUCACCUCAAUAUAGCACUACGAUGUGCAAAUUCGGGGUUUCAAACUCCCAGAACAUCAUUUACAAUCAUUACUCAACUCGAUCCGGUCCAAACUCUAGCCCGCGAUGCCUCGCCCGCACGAAUCGACCUCCGGAUGCUCCAAAUGUAGCCACAAUCAGUACAUAAUCAUUAAAAUAUGCUAAGGGAACGAAGCCAACUUGAAAAUAUCCAAUUUAAUAUUAAAAUCCCGAAAUUGCUCAAACCCGUCCCCCCGAGCCUACAUCUCGAAAUUCGAUAAAAUUAACAUCAAUGGAAUUCUCAUGCUCUCACGAGUUCAUACAUAUCAAGAACAUCAAAAUCGGACCUCAAAUGGCCCCUCAUCCCCACUCAAAGGUCUCUUAAUCUCAAGCCCUAAUUACCAUUUUUGCUACUGAUUAUCCAUGGAUUUCAAGCUUACAAUGUUAAAAUUCAUCAUAGAAACAAGUUUAAGGUCCAAAAAUCUUACCUCCAUGAAAUCCUCUUGAAUUCCCUCUUCAAUUAGCUCUCCCAAGCUUUCUCCCGGAUGAAAUAUGGUGAAAACCCUUUCAAAAUCGCGAAGGGUGAAAUAUAUACAUUCUGAACCAGGCAUUUCCAUAUCUGCGGUCAAUCUACCGCAUCUGUGGUUCCGCUUUUGUGGUCAAUGAACCGCUUUUGCGGUUUUCAUUAAAGCGACCCAAAAUCGCAUAUGCGAUGAAAUAGCCGCACCUGAGCCUUCGCAGAUGCGGUCCCACAACCGCUUCUGGGGUUCCUGCAACCUCACCAGCUUUCGCUUCUGCAACCAAUUCUCUGCAUAUGUGGCGUCGCACCUGCGGUCCCCAAUCCGCAGGUCCGGAAAUACUAGAAGCAGAAAAUCUGCAGCUUCUUCAAAAAUUCCCAAACUCUCCGUCAACCAUCCAAAAUCACCCCGAGGCCCCUGGGACCUCAACCAAAAGCACAAACAUAACCCAUAACCUUAUUCAAACUUAUACCAAACUUCCAAACACCUGAAACAACAUCGAAUCAACCAAAACACAUCGGAUUCAAGCCUAAGAUUUCAAAAUCUUCCAAAUUGUGCUUUUGAUAAAAAACCCAACCAAACCACGUCCGCAUGACCUGAAAUUUUGCACACAUAUCCCAAAUGACACAAUGGUACUACUGCAACUUCCAGAAUUUUAUUCCUACCUCUAUAUCAACUAGUAGGGUUAGCCCGGGCCCAAGAUGAACAACCUUAACGUAAGGGAGUAAGGGUAAUAUUGAGUGGAUGGGCUUUCAUUUUAGAUCUUGAUAGUAAAAAAAAAUUUUAGAGUACAUUUGUUAGUACUAAGCUAAGCUAGUAUAUUAUUUUUUGUAGGUAUGCAGUUGUGAUUUCACUAUUGGAUUAGAGCUACAGUGAAACGCUUUAAAGUUUUGGAGGUAUGAUGAAAACAUAAAUGUAUAUAUAAUGGGAGCUAUUUGAAUUUACCAAAUUAUUCAAAGAGUUAGUUUGCAUAGCUAACAGUAAACAAUUCACGAAAAUCUGCGUUGUUGUUUAUACAAAAUGCGAAAGAUUGUACUUACUAAAAUCUGCCUUGAUAAGAGUCAGUUUGUCUAGCUAUUUACACAAAAUAUGAAACAUUGUACUGCAGUAAACAGUUCACGAAAAUCUACGUACGUAUUUACACAAAAUGUGGAAGACUGUAUUGUAGUAUAAUAAUACCACCAAAAUCUGCGUUAAAUGCAAGCUGUCAAAGCCUAUUGAGGCGACCUUUGUUGCGCUUCAAAUCUGAUGAGGCAUCUGUAUGAACGACAAAUUGAGAGUUAAGUGUAGAAGAGUAGUUGAGAAUACGUAAUUUGGACCAAGAAUUGUAAAGACAUUGGACAUAGAUUUUGUUUUGAAUUGUUCGAAAAUUCUGAAAUUGUAGUAUAGCGCGAGCAACACAGGCUUUAUCGUAUAAGCAAAAUAACAUUGUUAAAUCUCCACUUGUCAAGGCACAAAAAGAUAAAAUUAAAAUAAAUGUACAUUUUAAAACUCAUUCUCUCAACUAAAAUUAAUAUUAUGGAUGUGGUAGCGACUGAUGCCUAACUCUAUGAAUAAAGGUGAAAUCCCUCAUGUAUGGGUUCUCUUUAGCUUAUUUGGUGCAUCUAUAUCCGAUGCUUUAGAGUGAAUCAAAUACCAUUAUACAAAGUACUUCCACAAAGCUAAGUUAAAACGUUAUGUUCCUUUCAUUUUCUUAUUUGAUGCAUAGAAAUUGAUAGCAGUAAAUGUAAUUAUUCAUAUGGCCUAUCAAGAAUUAAUUUCUAACCUUGAUUAUUUUUGGAAAGGAGUUGUUGACUGUACGUUUGGUUUUUUCUUUGGGUUUUCAUCUUGUGUUAAUGGACGGCGAUCUGCUUCUUCAGAAGUACUGAUUGAUUCUAGCUUUCUUUUACUUCCCUCGACAAUAGUAGCUGAUGUUAAAGAUUGUGCUAGGUCGAAGACAAUCUGUUUCUGCGUGUAAGAUGAGAUGACAAAGGUACAAGGUGGUCUAUCCGGUGUUCUGAGUAGUGAUUUCUGUAAAUGAAUUUUGAACAUCUCGUCUAGCAGGUGCUUUCUGAUAUGCUCAACAGGUAACACUUGUUUCUAUGGAAAAAAGUUUGCCACAGAAUUAGCCAAGUGAGGAUUUUAAAUUAAUUUGGACUGACGCAAAAUGAUUGUAGAGUUGUUAGUAUAUGAACCUUGACAAUGGCAGUUUCGUAUAUUUGGUCUGCUGUCAGUGAAAGCAUUCUUUCAGCUAGUUUAUUUGACACUACUGCUGUUAUUGUUCCGCUCCCGUCUGUGAUGUCAACUUCAAAUUCACAUCUACAAUGUUGUGUUUGUC
This 11474-nucleotide long non-coding RNA is filed under the name Nicotiana tabacum (common tobacco). Its description in RNAcentral is "long non-coding RNA (NTAB_LNC010612)". Lineage: Eukaryota; Viridiplantae; Streptophyta; Magnoliopsida; Solanales; Solanaceae. The record is from RNAcentral.